AUUUAAGUUUUAAACUAACCCUCCACAUUAGAGGAUUUUUUACACCUUUAUGGAAAGUUAAAUUUUCUUUAUUCAAUAAAAUUUUUAUGCCAGUGUACUGUCUGAAGCGCCUUUUAAAAAAAAAGCACUAAAUCUAGAGCUAAAUUGGCAACACUAGAAAUUUGUUUCGUGAAGUUAAAUUUACUUGGGACAUUUUUUCCAAGGGAAAUUUAUUAAAUUUCUGUUUUCCAUAAAACUACUUGAAAAUUCUUGGCAACAUAAACAAAACAGAAUUACAAUGCCGCGUGGAAAGAGGUUGCAUUUUUUAAUAUAAAGAUUCAUUGUUUAAAGUGGUAAUAAAAAAUUUUAACAUGUGAGAAAUAGAAUUGAAGACUUGGAAAGUCUGCAAGUGAAAAUGUGUAAGCAUCAUGGAACCGGAGCCUCUAGUAGAGCAGAUACAAUAAUGCGGUAAAGCUGAUUGGCGUUCAGCGAAAGCAAAAUGCGAUAUACAAGGACAGAAAAGUGCACAUCCUAAUGGAUGGUCGUGCAUUACUUUUCUAAACAGAAUGACGAUGCCAUCUUAAAAACUUAUAUAAUGAAAUAUUGUAUACUGUAUAAAUAUUGAAAAAUAAUAUAAAUUAUUAAUUAGUA
Lucilia cuprina (Australian sheep blowfly) is the source of this 630-nucleotide long non-coding RNA. RefSeq lists it as uncharacterized. The record is from RefSeq and is a predicted model, not a curated record. The transcript is spliced from 2 exons. Lineage: Eukaryota; Metazoa; Arthropoda; Insecta; Diptera; Calliphoridae.